AGACAGGUACAUGGAUAGGACAGGUUUAGAUAGAUAUGGGCCCAAUGCAGACAGGUGGGACUAGUGUAGAUGGGGC
This is a long non-coding RNA of Amblyraja radiata (thorny skate), 76 nucleotides long. RefSeq lists it as uncharacterized. The transcript is spliced from 3 exons. NCBI's taxonomy places the organism in Eukaryota, Metazoa, Chordata, Chondrichthyes, Rajiformes, Rajidae. The record is from RefSeq and is a predicted model, not a curated record.